AUCGCUUCUCGGCCUUUUGGCUAAGAUCAAGUGUAGAAUCAGGGUAAUGCUAGCUUCCAAGAAUGACUUUGGGAGUACUCCUUCCCUUUCAAUUUUAUUAAAGAGUUUGAGGACUAUUGACAUUAGAUCUUUCCUAGAGUUCUUGUAGAAUUUUGCAGUGAAUCAAUUGGGAUCUGGGCUUA
Heterocephalus glaber (naked mole-rat) is the source of this 182-nucleotide small nuclear RNA. Its record names the gene U2. It matches the Rfam family "U2 spliceosomal RNA". Rfam says of the family: U2 is a small nuclear RNA (snRNA) component of the spliceosome (involved in pre-mRNA splicing). Complementary binding between U2 snRNA (in an area lying towards the 5' end but 3' to hairpin I) and the branchpoint sequence (BPS) of the intron results the bulging out of an unpaired adenosine, on the BPS, which initiates a nucleophilic attack at the intronic 5' splice site, thus starting the first of two transesterification reactions that mediate splicing. Lineage: Eukaryota; Metazoa; Chordata; Mammalia; Rodentia; Bathyergidae. The record is from Ensembl.